CCUACGGGAGGCAGCAGUGAGGAAUAUUGGUCAAUGGGCGCGAGCCUGAACCAGCCAAGUCGCGUGAGGGAGGACGGCCCUACGGGUUGUAAACCUCUUUUGCCGGGGAGCAACGGGCGUCACGUGUGGCGCCACUGAGAGUACCCGGAGAAAAAGCAUCGGCUAACUCCGUGCCAGCAGCCGCGGUAAUACGGAGGAUGCGAGCGUUAUCCGGAUUUAUUGGGUUUAAAGGGUGCGUAGGCGGAUCGUUAAGUCAGUGGUCAAAUUGAGGGGCUCAACCCCUUCCCGCCAUUGAAACUGGCGCUCUUGAGUGGAAGAGAAGUAUGCGGAAUGCGUGGUGUAGCGGUGAAAUGCAUAGAUAUAACUUAGAACUCCGAUAGCGAAGGCAGCUUACCAGACUGCGACUGACGCUGAAGCACGAGAGCGUGGGUAGCGAACAGGAUUAGAUACCCGAGUAGUC
Molecule: ribosomal RNA, 460 nt
Filed under: uncultured bacterium
Lineage: Bacteria
Description: partial 16S ribosomal RNA
Rfam family: Bacterial small subunit ribosomal RNA
Source: RNAcentral